AACGAACGCUGGCGGCAGGCUUAACACAUGCAAGUCGAACGCUCGUAGCAAUACGGGAGUGGCGGACGGGUGAGUAACGCGUGGGAACGUGCCCUGAGGUACGGAAUAACUGAGGGAAACUUCAGCUAAUACCGUAUGAGCCCCGAGAGGGGGGAAAGAUUUAUCGCCUUGGGAGCGGCCCGCGUCGGAUUAGCUAGUUGGUGGGGUAACGGCCUACCAAGGCUUCGAUCCGUAGCUGGUCUGAGAGGACGAUCAGCCACACUGGGACUGAGACACGGCCCAGACUCCUACGGGAGGCAGCAGUGGGGAAUCUUGCGCAAUGGGGGCAACCCUGACGCAGCCAUGCCGCGUGAACGAUGAAGGCCUUAGGGUUGUAAAGUUCUUUUACCCGUGACGAUGAUGACGGUAACGGGGGAAUAAGCUCCGGCUAACUUCGUGCCAGCAGCCGCGGUAAUGUACAGUGU
RNAcentral lists this ribosomal RNA (464 nucleotides) under uncultured bacterium. Its description in RNAcentral is "bacterial SSU rRNA". It matches the Rfam family "Bacterial small subunit ribosomal RNA", at positions 29 to 533 of the family's 1533-position model. The record is from RNAcentral.